CGGGCAUAGUGAUAGACGACGAC
This 23-nucleotide non-coding RNA is filed under the name Arabidopsis thaliana (thale cress). Lineage: Eukaryota; Viridiplantae; Streptophyta; Magnoliopsida; Brassicales; Brassicaceae. The record is from RNAcentral.